RNAcentral lists this ribosomal RNA (523 nucleotides) under uncultured bacterium. Its description in RNAcentral is "bacterial SSU rRNA". It matches the Rfam family "Bacterial small subunit ribosomal RNA", at positions 362 to 879 of the family's 1533-position model. The record is from RNAcentral.
UCUUCGGCAAUGGGCGCAAGCCUGACCGAGCGACGCCGCGUGCGGGAUGAAGGCCUUCGGGUUGUAAACCGCUGUCGUAGAGGAGGAAAUGCAGGGGGGUUCUCCCUUCUGUUUGACCUAUUCUAGGAGGAAGUACGGGCUAAGUUCGUGCCAGCAGCCGCGGUAAGACGAACCGUACAAACGUUACUCGGAAUUACUGGGCUUAAAGGGUGCGUAGGCUGCGCGGAAAGUUGGGUGUGAAAGCCCUCGGCUCAACCGAGGAAUUGCACUCAAAACUACCGUGCUUGAGGGAGACAGAGGUAAGCGGAACUCAAGGUGGGGCGGUGAAAUGCGUUGAUAUCUUGAGGAACACCGGUGGCGAAGGCGGCUUACUGGGUCUUUUCUGACGCUGAGGCACGAAAGCUAAGGUAGCAAACGGGAUUAGAUACCCCGGUAGUCUUAGCUGUAAACGAUGAGCACUUGAUUGGAGGGUCCUCCAUAGCCUUCCAGUCGUAGCGAAAGUGUUAAGUGCUCCGCCUGGGGA